RNAcentral lists this ribosomal RNA (530 nucleotides) under uncultured archaeon. RNAcentral's name for it is "bacterial SSU rRNA". It matches the Rfam family "Archaeal small subunit ribosomal RNA", at positions 322 to 856 of the family's 1478-position model. The record is from RNAcentral.
CCUACGGGGCGCAGCAGGCGCGAAAACUUUACAAUGCGAGCAAUCGUGAUAAGGGAACUCCGAGUGCCCGUAAAAUCGGGCUGUCCGCCAGUUUAAAUCACUGGUGAAGAAAGGGCCGGGCAAGACCGGUGCCAGCCGCCGCGGUAAUACCGGCGGCUCGAGUGGUGGCCACUAUUACUGGGCUUAAAGCGUUCGUAGCUGGCUUGUUAAGUCUCUGGGGAAAUCUUCCGGCUUAACCGGAAGGCGUCUCAGGGGUACUGGCAGGCUAGGGACUGGAAGAGGUGAGAGGUACUCCAGGGGUAGGAGUGAAAUCCUGUAAUCCUUGGGGGACCACCUGUGGCGAAGGCGUCUCACCAGGACGGCUCCGACAGUGAGGAACGAAAGCUGGGGGAGCAAACCGGAUUAGAUACCCGGGUAGUCCCAGCUGUAAACGAUGCGCGUUAGGUGUAUCGGUGACCACGAGUCACCGAGGUGCCGAAGAGAAAUCGUGAAACGCGCCGCCUGGGAAGUACGGGCGCAAGGCUGAAACU